UUGUCAUUGUCUUCGCGCUCAUCAUAGCCGUGGCAACCGGCGCUAUGACUGCAUGUGACCCGGCGCCAGCCCCAGCGCCAGGGCGCGACCGCUCGCAGUACGUGGCCAGCACAGUGA
Long non-coding RNA from Dermacentor silvarum, 117 nucleotides. RefSeq lists it as uncharacterized. The record is from RefSeq and is a predicted model, not a curated record. The transcript has 3 exons. Lineage: Eukaryota; Metazoa; Arthropoda; Arachnida; Ixodida; Ixodidae.